Molecule: ribosomal RNA, 489 nt
Filed under: uncultured bacterium
Lineage: Bacteria
Description: bacterial SSU rRNA
Rfam family: Bacterial small subunit ribosomal RNA
Source: RNAcentral
GAUGAACGCUAGCGGCAGGCUUAACACAUGCAAGUCGAGGGGUAUUGGUUUUCGGACCAAGAGACCGGCGCACGGGUGCGUAACGCGUAUGCAAUCUACCUUUUGCAGAGGGAUAGCCCAGAGAAAUUUGGAUUAAUACCUCAUAGUAUAGUACUUUGGCAUCAAGGAACUAUUAAAGUCACAACGGCAAAAGAUGAGCAUGCGUCCCAUUAGCUAGUUGGUAAGGUAACGGCUUACCAAGGCUACGAUGGGUAGGGGUCCUGAGAGGGAGAUCCCCCANACUGGUACUGAGACACGGACCAGACUCCUACGGGAGGCAGCAGUGAGGAAUAUUGGACAAUGGGCGCAAGCCUGAUCCAGCCAUGCCGCGUGCAGGAUGACGGUCCUAUGGAUUGUAAACUGCUUUUANACAGGAAGAAACACUCCGACGUGUCGGAGCUUUGACGGUACUGUAAGAAUAAGGAUCGGCUAGCUCCGUGCCAGCAGCCG